RNAcentral lists this ribosomal RNA (120 nucleotides) under Erinaceus europaeus (western European hedgehog). The record is from RNAcentral. Lineage: Eukaryota; Metazoa; Chordata; Mammalia; Eulipotyphla; Erinaceidae.
GUCUACGGCCACACCACCCUGAACACGCCCAAUCUCGUCUGAUCUCGGAAGCUAAGCAGGGUCGGGCCUGGUUAGUACUUGGAUGGGAGACCGCCUGACAGUGAAUACCAUUUUUAGACU